UCACAAAGUAUUCACACCGUUCAACAGGU
RNAcentral lists this non-coding RNA (29 nucleotides) under Bombyx mori (domestic silkworm). Lineage: Eukaryota; Metazoa; Arthropoda; Insecta; Lepidoptera; Bombycidae. The record is from RNAcentral.